UACGGAGGGUGCAAGCGUUGUUCGGAAUCACUGGGCGUAAAGCGCGUGUAGGCGGCCCCUUAAGUCUGGUGUGAAAGCCCGGGGCUUACCCCCGGAAGGGCACUGGAGACUGGGAGGCUAGAGUACCGGAGAGGAGGGUGGAAUUCCUGGUGUAGCGGUGAAAUGCGUAGAUAUCAGGAGGAACACCGGUGGCGAAGGCGGCCCUCUGGACGGCUACUGACGCUGAGACGCGAAAGCGUGGGGAGCAAACAGG
RNAcentral lists this ribosomal RNA (253 nucleotides) under uncultured bacterium. Its description in RNAcentral is "partial 16S ribosomal RNA". It matches the Rfam family "Bacterial small subunit ribosomal RNA", at positions 524 to 776 of the family's 1533-position model. The record is from RNAcentral.